Molecule: ribosomal RNA, 501 nt
Filed under: uncultured bacterium
Lineage: Bacteria
Description: bacterial SSU rRNA
Rfam family: Bacterial small subunit ribosomal RNA
Source: RNAcentral
AGAGUUUGAUCCUGGCUCAGGACGAACGCUGGCGGCGUGCCUAACACAUGCAAGUUGAGCGGAGAUAUAUGGAGCUUGCUUUAUAUAACUUAGCAGCGAACGGGUGAGUAACACGUAGAUAAUCUAUCCUAUACUGGGGGAUAGCCCGAUGAAAGUUGGAUUAAUACCGCAUAUAGCUAUAUAGUUGCAUGAUUAUGUAGUGAAAGAUUUAUUGGUAUAGGAGGAGUCUGCGGCACAUUAGCUAGUGGGUGAGGUAAAGGCUUACCUAGGCGACGAUGUGUAGCCGGUCUGAGAGGAUGAACGGCCACAAUGGAACUGAGACACGGUCCAUACUCCUACGGGAGGCAGCAGUGGGGAAUAUUGCACAAUGGGGGAAACCCUGAUGCAGCAACGCCGCGUGAGUGAAGAAGGUUUUCGGAUUGUAAAGCUCUGUUAGCAGGGAAGAGGAAGGACGGUACCUGCAGAGGAAGCCACGGCUAACUACGUGCCAGCAGCCGCGGU